GUGGUAGUGGCGACGCGCGGCCCCGGGGGUAGGCCGCGCCCGGGCCCCGGCGCCUCGGUGAGGCCCGGGCGGGCAGCGCCUGGGUUCAGCGGCCGGCUGCGGAGGCAGCAGGGCCUAGCGCAGCCGCCGAGCGGACGCGAAAGCCGGCCCGACCCGCGGAGGGGCCGGUGACACCCACCCUCCGUGGGCAUCCCCACGCUGCCGCGACCCGCCGCCAGACCCCAGGCCGGGCGUUCGCUCCCUCGGCUCUGCCGGGAGAGCGUGCCGCCGAGUGCGGCGAGGGCCGUUCCCCCCUCCGCUGGUUCUCGGUAACCAGAAGCAACGCCUCAGAUCCGCUUCAGUGUUAUUAUCAAUUCACCGUCAUCCCGAGAGCGUGAUACUGUAAGAGUUUGGACUGAAAGCUGAACCUACCAGCAAGAUUUCCAAGGAAACUUAUCUUCUCCAGGCUGUGCAAUUGCACUUGAAGAGAAAGCGAAAGAGGCUGCACACAGCUCCUAAAGAAGGGGCAAGUGGUUGGGAAUCCCCCCCCCCCCCCAACAAAAUGCAUUUGGCAAAAUUAUGCUUAAUUCUGGAUUACUCUUUCUCUCUUUUGCUGGAAAUGAAUCUUACCUCACUUGGUCUGAUGAAAAAGUAAAGACUAACAAUGCCUUGAAAA
Aquila chrysaetos chrysaetos is the source of this 655-nucleotide long non-coding RNA. RefSeq lists it as uncharacterized. The record is from RefSeq and is a predicted model, not a curated record. Lineage: Eukaryota; Metazoa; Chordata; Aves; Accipitriformes; Accipitridae. The transcript has 2 exons.